Molecule: long non-coding RNA, 241 nt
Filed under: Elaeis guineensis (African oil palm)
Lineage: Eukaryota; Viridiplantae; Streptophyta; Magnoliopsida; Arecales; Arecaceae
Description: long non-coding RNA (EGUI_LNC042260)
Source: RNAcentral
CUCCUUGGAUUUUUCAUGCAUGGCUCCUUGUAUUUUGGCAUCCAAAAUCUAAUCAAUAUCAUCUUAUUUGCCGCCCCACAUAUCCCUUGUUUAAAUAGGAAUAGAUUAGGGUUUUCGUUAAGAGAUAAGAGUCCAACUAUCCUAGAACUCUUGUAUAUGCCGCCCAAGCCUUCUUAUUUUGUGCACCCCUCUCUUACACGUUAAAAGCAUAAAAAAAAAGAGCUUCAUCGCAUAAAAACUA